Lynx canadensis (Canada lynx) is the source of this 675-nucleotide long non-coding RNA. RefSeq lists it as uncharacterized. NCBI's taxonomy places the organism in Eukaryota, Metazoa, Chordata, Mammalia, Carnivora, Felidae. The transcript has 3 exons. The record is from RefSeq and is a predicted model, not a curated record.
AAGACGGUGUGUAAGUCAGAGGAGAAGGAAUCCCGAAGCAAAGCAUACCUUCGCCGCUCACGUCGCAUGUAUUCUGCUCGCCAGCAUGGACUUCUCCAGGAGGAUUAACCUUCCAGAACACACAAGGGAUGAGCCUGCUUCUUCUAGGAUGGCCACAGUACCUCUGACUUUGGAACAAGCAAUUCAGACUCACCACGUUGUGGAGGCCAGGACAGCAAGGCGAUAUUGGACCAACUAUGUGGACCAGGAAUGAGACCGUAGCAUCACCUUGAUGAAAAGGACGAAGAAAUGUUGAAACUCCCAAAGAAGCAAUUAAAUGGCAGAUUUCUUUUUCUUUAGUUCAAAGUUAUGAUAAGCAACAAUAGCAUCAUCCACUAAAUAACAUAUUCGUUAUAAACGUACAUUUCCAUACAGAAGCCUGGAACCAUGAAUGAGAAGACGUAGAAAAAGGAGAAGAAUAAAACUCACAGAGGGAUGAGAUCAUGGAAAUUAGCAGAUGGAGAAAAUACCUAAGUAUGAUUUAUAUGGUUAAGUAAGUUACAGAAAAAAAUUUUUAAUUAUGACUAAGCACUAGGAGACUCUAAAACGAAUCAAGAUGUUUGAGGGGCGCCUAGGUGACUCAGUCGGUGAAGCAUCCGACGUAGUAAGCUCAGGUCAUGAUCUCGUGGUCUGUAA